AAAAAAUCGGGGUGAAUCUGGUGGUUGGUUAAUCUCAAUCCCCGUAUUCCCGACUGCGUCCUGUAAUUGUGGGAGUGAAGAUUGGAGAAAGCACACCCCAGUUUCCCCACCAAUUCCGUUUUUUUUUUCUUUUUUCUUCCGAUUCCCCAUUUUCUAUUUCCUCUUCCUCUUCCCCUGAUUUCCCCAUUUUUAUUUGUUCCGGAGAAAUUAGUUUCCUAACAGAGAAACCCUAUCAGAGAAAGGGGUACAGUUUCAUGGUGGAUAUCGUUGGUUACUCAGUGGAGUCUUCUUGAUCGUAACUUCUUGUAACACGGUUAUUCUCACCUGGAUUCGAAGCAGGGGUUUAGAAUUAUCUUGAAGUUGCUAGUCAGAGUGCACAGAGAAGGGAUCUAAGGAAUCUUUCGUCCAUAUGAAAUUUGUGUAAACCUUUGCCGUAAAAUUUAGGUUAGGUAAUUUUGAAACUUUAUGGUAUUGAUCAGAAGAUUCAGAACUAUACUUGUUGAACUUCCCAUGGAGAUAAUUCUCAUGCUAGUAGUAGUAUUGCCUGUUUUGAAACUCAUAGAUCAACUCAUGAGUUUGAAAAUAAGUCACUUAUAUUUCAUAGCAUACUAUAGAUAAUGCUCCUGACUAAAAUAUGGGGAAAUAGUUUUUAAUAUAUUGGAUAUAGAUUUUUUCGUCUAUACUUUCAUGACUGGUACGGUCUUAAUUUUUAUCCCUAAAAGAACAUACAUGACAGACAGUAGCAUUCUACAACUAUCGAAAAACGAACUAUAUUAACAAUCCUUCAGCUCAUAAUUUUCUAUUUUGUAACAUGUACACGAAGGAACACAGGCUUGUAAAAUCACCAAAGUUGCAGGAGAACCAAGUAAAAUAAUGAGCACAGAGAGGACAAAAUAUUAUUAGCAUUUUCGGGAUUGGAGCAGGCUUUGACCAGCAAUCUUGGAUACAGGCCAUGAAACUGGUGCUCUUUUGAAUACUCGCAUUGAGAUGGAUUAUGGUCCUUCCUUCGAUAUAGUAUCAGAACUAGCACUCGACAGUUGUUACUAUUAAUUUUCAAAGGCAGUUGGUGGUUGACACAUCUUGCUUGAUUCUACUCUUAGUACUUCAGGGAAUAGCCUAAAUAAGCCUAUCCCUGUUCUUUGCAGAGCAUAAGCAUAUGAAGCUCACUGGUACAUUUUUGUUUAAUAGUUUUAGAACUAUUUGGUCGAUCUACAGAAGAAAAAAUUCCUUCAAAUUUUAUAGGAAAAUAAGCUACAGAUCUAGCAGUUCAACAUUAUUUCUCAGAAAAUGUAAGAGUUACUGAAGAAGACGAAGACAACUAGCCCAGCUUGGCAGUGCAACUGGUGUUUAUAAGACGCUUGUGAAGUACCUAGUUGGAGUGCCACAGGCUCACAGGUGGCAGAAGUAAAGAGUUUACGAUCUUUUGAUGUCUUCCACAUCUCACCAGCAACAAACUUGAAUUCAAACUAGAGUUUUUGGAUAUCUUACUAAUUCAAGUACUUUCAGCAUUUUAUAGAGAUAUUUUCAUCUAUUUCUUGUUUGUUUGUGCUAAUAGUAUAUUGUACGUAUUUAUGGAAUAUUGAGGAACUGGAAGGCUCUUAAAUUGCACUCAAAAUCUAUUUACUUUGUAAUUUCAGACGGGAAAUUUCACUUUA
This is a long non-coding RNA of Papaver somniferum (opium poppy), 1655 nucleotides long. RefSeq lists it as uncharacterized. The record is from RefSeq and is a predicted model, not a curated record. The transcript is spliced from 6 exons. Lineage: Eukaryota; Viridiplantae; Streptophyta; Magnoliopsida; Ranunculales; Papaveraceae.